UUUUCCAGCAUACCCGGAAGCUACAGAGAUGGAGAGAGAGGAACAGAACAAACAAACAAUGCGCUCAUCCACAACGUUGUUAAGGAGGAGUGAUGAAUAUGUGUGUGCGUUAAAGAACCAAAUGCUGCCCGCGGCCAGUGACGGACUUCUGCGUCACAUCCCCAAAGAAUGUAAGAGCCUACCAGACAUUCUAAACUCCAAAUCACCUUGUGCAGUGCGAACGGGUCUAACCAACCGUUUCCAAUCGUAGUAUUCUCUGCACAGCGUCAGCUAGGGCAGACUAUGCGGCAAAAGAUUAGCUGAAACAACCUGAUUGAAGAAAGAGAUUGUACUGUUGAUAUCAAAACUGAACGCAGUUCAUGUAGCGAAUUGACGCUUGUUUACAUCACAAUGGGUCACGGUUUUAUGGCCGCGCAUAAUACGUCACAAGAAAGGCGUGUAAGGGACCGGACUGGUGUUAUCUUCCCCCUGGUUGUAAUUUAUAACUGUCAAAUCAAAUCUAUGUCGCUAUCUAUCUCAAAUGGCUGUUGAGGACUCUUUGAUAAUCACAUUUGAGGCACAUGUCAGCAGGUGGCAGUGUCUUCAAAUGCAGAAGUUGAUCCCCUGUGCAACAGUUGAGCAACUUUGAUGUUGUAACAUUUAGGGGUUAGCAAGCCUGCCAUCCUAUUUCUCCAAUUCAUCUUCUUAUAAACGGAUUUUAAACCUAACCACACUGCUGAUCUAAUGGCCCAACCUUAAAUUAAGACCAAAACGCGUAUUUUGGUUUUCAUACAUUUUUACGAUAUAGCCAAUUUGUACUUUGUGGUUGUGUUAUCUAGUGGGAAUCUCUAGCUAGUGUUAUAUAAAUAUUCAUACACAUGGCUCAUAUAUUAUACAGCGCUAAGCUAAUCUGCCUGACUCAAGUCAUUUCUUGUACCCCUGCUAAAACAGGAACCAGGACACAUACCCAGCAAUAAACUAACCCCUCAGCUCUGUUGUCUCAGCUCUGUUGUUUCAGGACCCCUCUGAUCUCCGGUCUCACUGUCCCCUGACACACACAUACCCAGCAAUAAACUACCCCCCUCAGCUCUCUGUUGUUUCAAGACCCCUCUGAUCUCCGGUCUCACUGUCCCCUGACACACACAUACCCAGCAAUAAACUACCCCCCUCAGCUCUCUGUUGUUUCAAGACCCCUCUGAUCUCCGGUCUCACUGUCCCCUGACACACACAUACCCAGCAAUAAACUACCCCCCUCAGCUCUCUGUUGUUUCAAGACCCCUCUGAUCUCCGGUCUCCCUGUACCCUGACACACACAUACCCAGCAAUAAACUACCCCCCUCAGCUCUCUGUUGUUUCAAGACCCCUCUGAUCUCCGGUCUCCCUGUACCCUGACACACACAUACCCAGCAAUAAACUACCCCCUCAGCUCUCUGUUGUUUCAAGACCCCUCUGAUCUCCGGUCUCCCUGUACCCUGACACACACAUACCCAGCAAUAAACUACCCCCCUCAGCUCUCUGUUGUUUCAAGACCCCUCUGAUCUCCGGUCUCCCUGUACCCUGACACACACAUACCCAGCAAUAAACUACCCCCCUCAGCUCUCUGUUGUUUCAAGACCCCUCUGAUCUCCGGUCUCCCUGUACCCUGACACACACAUACCCAGCAAUAAACUACCCCCCUCAGCUCUCUGUUGUUUCACGACCCCAUUUGCUCCCUUAUCUCAUGACUCCGGGACACACACGGACAUUCCAUCGCACGAACACACACACCUAGCCAUAACGGGACACACAAACAUCUUCUUGCAUAAACACACACACACACACACUCCACUCCCCUUUCUACUGGGCAGGAGCCAGGAUGGGACGACUUCACGGGGCACCAAUAAGGCUCCUGCACAGGCUCGGUCAGGACCCGCCUCCAACCUUCACCAACCAGUCAGAAGACAGAACUACAAGAAUCAACCUACGUCAUUCUAUGUACAAAAUCUGUUGCACACUCUGUUUAGGGAUCCUUGUCAGCUGCCUCCUUCUGAGCCAUAUGACUAGGUCCGUGCACGUUUAAUUAGAGGACAAGAUAUCUUUUACAUAAUAAACUGCCUUUUUGCUAUACUUGAUUCCACUCUGUCCAGCGUCUUGAUUUGGUCUCUCUCUCCGGUAGCUAAUCAUCAACAAAACUUGGUAGCAGAGGAUGGUUUAAACAUCUAAAUUCGAUCUAUGACAAGUUGAUGUGAGGGGAGACAAAUCAUUGGGUGCAAACCAGACGGAAGAGUGACCUGUCGCCAGGAGACAUCGGCCAUUCAACUUGCCUCAGGAAACUGAUCACAGAGCUCGACAUAAUAGCACUCUCUACCCAGGUUCACAAGGUCCAGGAGGGGGAGCUACCAGGAGACACGCCACCACUGAAGGUAAAAGUUGGUGACUGGGUGAGGGUUAAAGUCCACAAGAGAAUGUGGUUGGAACCCAGGUGGACUGGACCGUACGAAGUGAAGGAGGUUACUUCACACUCAGUCCAGGUCAAAGGUAAAUCAGGCGCACCUUGGCACCACCUUACACAUUGCACCCCAGCCCCAACUCCUUCCAGAACACUGACUGAAGUCAGAGCUGAUUUGAACAGCCUAAAUUUGGUACCAAAUGGAGACACUCCUGACUCAGGUGAUGGAGCAUCAAACUCCACCUCCCCUGAGAAAGGAACCUCGCCCAGUUAAAGGGACAUCUCUCUCUCCUUGUGCGAGGCUAGGACUAUCUGGGCCCUUGUUUGUGAUCCUGCAAAUUGCUUACAGUGGGACGCAGUCUACCCAGUAGUCUCCGCCAUAGCGGAAAAACCAAAAUCAUAGCUAAAAAAAACUAAAUGUGGUCGAUGAAAGAAGGGAGUGGUGUUCUAACCAAGUGCUGAGAAAUAAGGUAGAUUUAUUUUGUUCUUUUAAUUAAUUUACACAAGUACUUCCCGGAUAUUGAUUUUGGUUUGAUUGUUCAGAUAACACCAUUGAAAUUAAACAGGAGGUUAAGGUAUACUAACAUUAGAAUCUGUUUUCAUUAUGGGGAACAAUGAAAGGCCCGCAGAAUGGACUGCAGGCUGAGUUUUUAUGUUAAAGGGACAGUAUACAUUUAUCACAGGUGUGUGUGUGUCUAAUGGAUGGGUAUUUAAGGAGUAUUUUGGGGAGAAAAUUUGGAGAAACACGAAUAAAAACAUGAAACAUCAAGAGAUUUAAAACAAACGAUGUGAAGGGAUUAUCAGAAUUAUUGGGUGUCGUUGUAGUAGUACAAGUUUGUGUUAAGGGGAUUUCCCUGUUCCCAGUGACAAGGUAUUUUAAAGGUGUACACUCACAUAUGCUGGUAUGAGUUUUAAUUAAAACAAGUAAAUAACGUAUUGGGAAUAGAGUCGUAAUUAAAAUGCUAAAUCAAAGACGAGACAGUUACUCAGAUCAAAAUGAAUUAUAAAUAAAAACGAAGAGACAAUUACGAUUUAUGCCCAUCGAAAUGUUUUUAUGAAAUUAGCGAAUUAAGAGAUAUUGGUUGGGGUGGUAAAUUAUAAUUCCGGAUUUGAACAGAUGUGAUAAAUUAGGUUUGGUUUAUCGAACAACAAUUAUUUACAAUUCAUUGAAAGUCGUUACGGAUUGAGCCAAGGUUGAGCGCUUGUUGAUGACAUCACUCGCGAGGCACUGUUGUCGCCACGGACUGGGGGUAACGGAGAAAAUUGUUUGUGUCUUUUAGAAGGAAAAUGCGUGCAUUAUUGUUUUGUCACUUUUCAGAAGGUGAUAAAAAAGUCCAAAUACCUACUUGUUUGAUUCCUAUGAGACUGGUUAUUCUAGGAGUUGAUUCAACUUAAUUAAGCAUUAGUUCUGGUGUGUUUAAGUAGGAUUCUUCAUACCGGGACGGAUGGAAGUUAUCUAAAGUAUGUGAGUUGAAGGAGUCAAGGAAAAAACGCGUUUAUAUUUGUAUUAAAUAUCUGGGAUUAGGAUUUCUUACACUGAGAAAUGUACGACAUUUGCGGCAGAGGGGAAGAAGUAAUACAAUAACGUUAUCGGUUAAUUGUAUCUAAGGAUGGCAUGUUCAUUUAAGUAAUUAUAUACAUUGACGUUGUUUAAAAUUUAUGAUUAAUGAUUUGAGUUAAAGGGGAAUCAUCAUUAGGUUUAGUUUAUAGUUCACUUUUGAGUUUAUGAAUCGGAAUUAGCAUAGUGAAUGCUAGUUAGGAGUGUUGUGUUCUUCUGGGAAUAUUGAUGUUUAGGUGUCUCAAUUUUAGAUGUUUCCUGGGAUUAUAAUCUUGGGGAGAAUGAGGCCAUAAACGACCAAAUUAAAACAGGUCUGCAAGUAUAUACACCUAAAACCAUUGUUAGGACUAUUUGUUUUAGUGCAAAGGUAUUUUAGAGAGGCACGCUCACAAUAUGGAACUUUAUGAGUUUUUAGUUUAUGAGUUUUAAUUAUACAAGUGAAUUUUUAUUUUAUGACCUAUUGAUCUUAUCGUGACUGUCUUCUGAGGUCUGAUCAGCCUCAGGGGAGAGUCAUUUGUAUAAUGAAUGUGGUCAUAUUGAGUUACUAGUUUUAAGGUAAAUUCAUUAUAAUGGAGUUUUGGUUGGGGGGGUUAGAAUUAUUGUUUGAACCGCAAAUGAGAAAGUGGUUCAGGAUUCUGUUUUACAACAUUAGCUGUUAAGUUUUUGAAUGGGCUAUUAAUGAUUUGGUAUUGUAACAGAGAAAAAGUCAUAUUUAUCAUUGCGAAUAAAUAGGGGAAGAUAGAUUAAGCCAAUAGGGCAGGGAAAUACAUAGAAAAUAAGUUGCGGUUUUUAGGGGUAAUACAUUACUGUAGAUAAGGUAUUCCACACUUUGCAACACAUAUUAAAUUAAUGUUAUUGUCAGAUAGGAGAGCGCUUGUUAGUGUAGGAAGGAUUGUGAUAUGGUUAGCAUUUAUUAGACGUUGUUUGAUUAUUAUACGUUUUUAAAUACUAUUACAUUUAACAGGAAUAUAGGACAUCUCUGAUUUAGGAUUAUUGUUAGGAUUAAGAUAGAUUGACUAAGGAAAAGUAAGGACUUUAGAGAAAAGCCGCUCAUAGACAUGUUUUUUCUAAAAUCAAUGAUUGUAGACAAAGUCAAACAGUUAGAAGCUUAGUGGAAUUUGAGAGAUAUGAGAGAAAAGGGUUAUCGGGAAUAUAUAUAUUUAAGAAAAUAUAUAAGUAGCACAGAUAGUUCUUAAAAAUAGAUAAGAAACUUGACAGAGUAUUGUUACAGGAUUGACAUGAAUGGACGCCCAAGGGAGAAUUGGACAUGUGGAACAUUUAAAAGGGGCUCCUACAUGAUGAUGUCAGACAUUAGGAUAAUUUACAAAUCUUGCCCAAAUCAUUGUUUAAGAGUAGGCAUGGUUGUUACCUGGUAACAACCAGGUAACAAAGGGGGGGAUGGGUAAAUUGUGUUCUAGAAUAGGAUGUGACCUACGGGAUAAUUAACAACAACAAAAAAAAUUAUUAGCUAACAAUCAGAACAAAUGAGAAACUGUUUGUUAACCUGUAUGUCCAAGAUUUUAUACACUACAGGUGAAUUACAGAUGAAGUCACUCAAUCCAGUCCCUGAGGCCUUUUGGGGGGACCAUACCAAAGACUCCUGGUGACAGCUAGCUGAAAGAGCUACCCGGAUUCAUAUUGCACUGCGGGAGGGUAAGACACAUGACACUGUCGAACAAUAACAGAGUUCGAGAGGAGAACUGAAAUUAAUAGAAUUCUGGGGGCCAUCUCUCGAAUGAAAAAUCUUCACUUCUAUGAACAACAACAGUGAGGAAAGGACAGGUAAGGUUGUCCUUUCCUCACUGUUGUUGUUCAUAGAAGUGAAGAUGUGUCUGGCUCUUGCUAAGUGAUGUGUUCUCGGAGAGGGUGGGGCUUCACAUGGAAGCUGUUCGUCUGAGCUGUCUUAUCGUGGGUGACAUGUUCCUGAUAAGCACGUCCUACUUCAGUAUGCGGAGAGUGGUAAUUUGACCCAUGGUUUAGACAAUGAGGAUUUUGUUCCAAAAUAAGCAUAAGAGAUCCCUAGAUCUGGGUAGACUGGAAGUUAGAGUAGAGGUUGGGAAGGAUCUCUCAAUCGAGUUUUAUGUAGACCAAAAUGGAGUCUCUAACUACAUGGCAGUCUGGGACACUGAGCCAUUAUGGGAUAUAUCGGUGCAGGUUCCCAUAUUGAUCGUGGACACAGGUCAUAGCUCAUUUGGAGAGAGAGGGCUAUAUGAAUCCACUCACUCAGUAUGGAAGGACAAAGUAUACAUUGAUAACAUUGGGGUUCCACGGACGUGGACUGGAUUAAUUAUAUUUAUUAUAAUCAACAGCGCUUUAACAAUUAUACCAGAGAUGCUAUUAAAUGUUUUGCAGAACAGACUGAAGCAACCAGCCUGGAUGGCUUGGCAGAAUAGAAUUGCAUUAGAUUUGUUAAUGGCUGAAAAGGGAGAAGUAUGCGUGAUUAUCAGGACCAUGUUUGUGCUUACAUCCCAAAUAACACAGCUUGGAGAAGAGGGUAUCCUUAUAGCAUAGGGGAUUCCACAAAGGUGGAUAGGUUUUCCAUGAUAUGGGGAAAACCUGGGAGCACUGUUGAACUCUGUAAAGGUGAUGAAAUCCUACUAACCAUCAAAACUAUUAAGCUCUCUGAUGCAGGCACUUACACCCUCGGACCACAAAGGACCGGGACAGACACGAUGGGUGUGUUUUCUAUUAAGGUGCUGCCAAAAAUAGAGGUCCCAGACGAACCAGGGCCAGACACACUCCUCUACCACCCCUGGACCGAACCUGCCACCGCUGUGUUAAAAAUCCCAUUCAGGUAAUUAAUGUUAGCACUGAGACUGGCGUUGAUGGUAGGGACAAUUUGUGGCCGUCUUAUAUGAGGUGUACAGCUAAGACCCUGAAAAGAAAGGACUGCAUGAGUUACAUGAAACAUUGGUCAUGCUAGACCUGUUUUGGCUACGCACCCAUUUGCUAUAGGAGAAGGAGAGGGGUGGCUGUGUAUUCUGAGAGGUUUUUACCAGGUUCAGCCCAAUUCAACUCUCUGUUCCUCUUUGAGCCUUGUGUUUCCUACAGUACCUCCUCAUCGGGCCCCUUGGGGUGUUAAGGCAUAUGGGGGCAAUUACAGUUGCAUCACGGGUACAGGUAAUGGCAUUGAUUAUGGGAGAUAGUCUGAAGCUGAUUGCAGUAGUAACAUACCAUUAAUGCCACUUGGCCAGUUGCAGGCCUAAACCAAACUAGUGGUCUGGCUGAUGUGUGGUGGAUCUGUGGACCAAAAAGAGUGCUGAGACCCAUUCUUAGAGGAGACUGGCAAGGUACGUGUGCUCUGACCAGUUUGAUAAUUCCACUGACCAUUGUUAAUGUUACUGCUGAGCAGCUGUUGGGUUCUGUAUCCAGGGGACCUGAAAACAUUCCAUCCCAUGGGAGACAUAGACGUAGUGCUCCAUGGACAGAGGAUGUAGUUGACAUACACACUAACCUGUUGGGAGUGCUAGUGGGGGUUCCUCAUGAGUUUCAGGCCCUGGGUAGGAAUGAUGGACUCUUACUAUCUAUUAUAGGUCCAGCCAUAGUGGAUGCAAGACAGGCUGCAAGGAUUAAUUAUAUCUACUAUAAUCAACAGCGUUUUGUGAAUUACUCCCGUGAUGCACUCACUGGUCUGUCUGAACAGCUUGAGGCCACAUCUGUGGUUGCCAAACAGAAUAGACUUGCUUUGGAUAUGCUUCUUGCCAGUCAGAGAGGCAUCUGCAAGAUGUUCGGUGAACAAUGUUGCACGUAUAUUCCUAAUAACACCAGUCCAGAUGGUAGUAUAUCUAAGGUCCUUAGUGGGCUUGAUGCACUAUCUACUGAGAUGAGGACCAUGGCGGGGGUGGAGGAGUCUGGACUGUUCUCUUGGUUGGGAGCCUGGUUUGGUAAGUACACUAGUGUUGUGGUUACUGAAUUUCUGACCCUAAUUCUUGUAUUUUUGUUAUUGAUGUGUUGUGCUGCUUGCGUCAUACCGUAUUUUAAGAAGUCUGUUACAGAUGUGGUGAAGGCUUCAGGCAUGAUGCCUUUGCUUGAUGCUCCAGUUGGAGAUGCUGAUACUGAAGCAUGCUUUCAGGGGAGGAUGAGAUUGACUGAGGAGGACCCAUGGUAUGCUGUGGGCGAACCAAGUAGCUGCAGGUUUUGAAUCCUCAAUCUGCUGGUGGUGCACAGUUAACAAAAAUGUAGAUCGUAUUAACUACAUUCAUUUUAAUGUCCAAAAACUAAGCAAUUGGACUCAGCAAGGAUUCGAAGCCGUGCAUGGUCAACUGGCAGCAACAUCUUUGAUGGCUUUCCAAAAUAGGAUUGCUGUUGACAUGUUAUUGGCUGAACGUGGUGGGGUUUGUGCUAUGUUUGGUGAGCAGUGUUGCACUUUUAUUCCCAAUAACACAGCGGCUGAUGGCAGUUUGACUGUGGCCCUGGAGGGACUUCGAACUCUUAAUGGGAAAAUGAAAUACCAUUCAGGUGUUGACACCUCUAUGUGGGAUUCCUGGAUGGAUGCUUUUGGUAAAUAUAAAACACUGAUCUCCUCUAUCCUAGUGUCCAUUGCUGUUUUUGUAGCUAUCCUAGCCCUUUGCGGCUGUUGUUGCAUUCCCUGUGCCUGCACAUUGGCCACUAGAGUGAUCACCACUGCCAUCACCCCACUGCCCAGUGAUCAGACCCACAUGUACCCCUUUUAGCGGCUGAUGACCCCGAUGAGGCGUUUCCAUCUUUUGAGGAACCCCUCUUCCUGUCUAUCCCUCUUGGCCACUCCAGGUGUAGCACUUGGAGUGGACUCCUUUUGGUCCUUGCUUAUUUACCUCGCAUAGCUCCAUACAAGGGGGCUUCUUGUUUUCGUUAUAGCCUCUUUCUCCUUUCUGCAAUAGUUUUCACGUCUUAGUAAACGUGAAGAGGGGGACUAAAUUUUUUUUGGUUCAUACCAAAUUGAUUGGUUGCUUCAUGUUUUGGUUCUAUUGUUCACGUCUAGUAGACGUGAAGAGGGGGAUUUGUUAUAUAAAUAUUCAUACACAUGGCUCAUAUAUUAUACAGCGCUAAGCUAAUCUGCCUGACUCAAGUCAUUUCUUGUACCCCUGCUAAAACAGGAACCAGGACACAUACCCAGCAAUAAACUACCCCCUCAGCUCUGUUGUCUCAGCUCUGUUGUUUCAGGACCCCUCUGAUCUCUGGUCUCACUGUCCCCUGACACACACAUACCCAGCAAUAAACUACCCCCCUCAGCUCUGUUGUCUCAGCUCUGUUGUUUCAAGACCCCUCUGAUCUCCGGUCUCCCUGUACCCUGACACACACAUACCCAGCAAUAAACUACCCCCCUCAGCUCUCUGUUGUUUCAAGACCCCUCUGAUCUCCGGUCUCACUGUCCCCUGACACACACAUACCCAGCAAUAAUCUAC
Molecule: long non-coding RNA, 9349 nt
Organism: Oncorhynchus masou masou (cherry salmon)
Lineage: Eukaryota; Metazoa; Chordata; Actinopteri; Salmoniformes; Salmonidae
Exons: 3
Source: RefSeq, a predicted model, not a curated record